AAAAUAGGGCCAUUGUUAGCAAAUUUUGUAGCAGAAGCAGUAUUGAAGACUGUUGAGAACUUGAAGUAUUACAUGAGUGUUUUUUUGUUUUUUUUAUCAUCAUCUUGGUGGGAGGAAUUUCCUCCUCUCUUCUCUACAGUAAUUGAAUAACAUCCAGAUAUUUUUCAUUAUUAUUAUUUUUUUUAAAAUCUCCUGCACUGUGAAUCAUCUUGAAGGGUACACAUCACCUAAAGCAUUUUUCACCCUCAUGGUUAAGUCCAAU
Molecule: long non-coding RNA, 262 nt
Filed under: Lathyrus oleraceus (garden pea)
Lineage: Eukaryota; Viridiplantae; Streptophyta; Magnoliopsida; Fabales; Fabaceae
Description: Pisum sativum (pea) long non-coding RNA (PSAT_LNC005804)
Source: RNAcentral